UGUGCUAUACUUGAAAGGCUGUAUUAAUGUUAUCAAUACAGUCCUUGGCGCUUAGUUUCCUUUCGCCAAGCAUAUUAUACGCGGUUAUAGCCGCCAAAGGAGAAAAAAUG
This is a regulatory RNA element of Streptococcus intermedius B196, 110 nucleotides long. It matches the Rfam family "PreQ1-II (pre queuosine) riboswitch aptamer". Rfam says of the family: Q is a hyper modified nucleoside present in some anticodons in tRNAs (Try, Asn, Asp and His). The record is from Rfam. NCBI's taxonomy places the organism in Bacteria, Bacillati, Bacillota, Bacilli, Lactobacillales, Streptococcaceae.